Molecule: ribosomal RNA, 468 nt
Filed under: uncultured bacterium
Lineage: Bacteria
Description: partial 16S ribosomal RNA
Rfam family: Bacterial small subunit ribosomal RNA
Source: RNAcentral
GACGAACGCUGGCGGCGUGCUUAACACAUGCGAGUCGAACCGAAAGGCCCUGCUUUUGUGGGGUGCUCGAGUGGCGAACGGGUGAGUAACACGUGAGUAACCUGCCCUUGACUUUGGGAUAACUUCAGGAAACUGGGGCUAAUACCGGAUAGGAGCUCCUGCUGCAUGGUGGGGGUUGGAAAGUUUCGGCGGUUGGGGAUGGACUCGCGGCUUAUCAGCUUGUUGGUGGGGUAGUGGCUUACCAAGGCUUUGACGGUUAGCCGGCCUGAGAGGGUGACCGGCCACAUUGGGACUGAGAGACGGCCCAGACUCCUACGGGAGGCAGCAGUGGGGAAUAUUGCACAAUGGGCGGAAGCCUGAUGCAGCAACGCCGCGUGCGGGAUGACGGCCUUCGGGUUGUAAACCGCUUUCGCCUGUGACGAAGCGUGAGUGACGGUAAUGGGUAAAGAAGCACCGGCUAACUACGUG